GAUGAACGCUGGCGGCGUGCCUAAUACAUGCAAGUCGAGCGAACAGACGAGGAGCUUGCUCCUCUGACGUUAGCGGCGGACGGGUGAGUAACACGUGGAUAACCUACCUAUAAGACUGGGAUAACUUCGGGAAACCGGAGCUAAUACCGGAUAAUAUAUUGAACCGCAUGGUUCAAUAGUGAAAGACGGUUUUGCUGUCACUUAUAGAUGGAUCCGCGCCGCAUUAGCUAGUUGGUAAGGUAACGGCUUACCAAGGCAACGAUGCGUAGCCGACCUGAGAGGGUGAUCGGCCUCACUGGAACUGAGACACGGUCCAGACUCCUACGGGAGGCAGCAGUAGGGAAUCUUCCGCAAUGGGCGAAAGCCUGACGGAGCACCGCCGCGUGAGUGAUGAAGGUCUUCGGAUCGUAAAACUCUGUUAUUAGGGAAGAACAAAUGUGUAAGUAACUAUGCACGUCUUGACGGUACCUAAUCAGAAAGCCACGGCUAACUACGUG
Molecule: ribosomal RNA, 497 nt
Filed under: uncultured bacterium
Lineage: Bacteria
Description: partial 16S ribosomal RNA
Rfam family: Bacterial small subunit ribosomal RNA
Source: RNAcentral